Molecule: transfer RNA, 66 nt
Filed under: Gonocephalum kochi
Lineage: Eukaryota; Metazoa; Arthropoda; Insecta; Coleoptera; Tenebrionidae
Description: tRNA-Leu
Rfam family: tRNA
About the family: Transfer RNA (tRNA) molecules are approximately 80 nucleotides in length.
Source: RNAcentral
UCUAAUAUGGCAGAAUAGUGCAAUGGACUUAAACCCCGUACAUAAAGUUCUUAACUUUUUUUAGAA